Molecule: non-coding RNA, 101 nt
Filed under: Tepidanaerobacter acetatoxydans
Lineage: Bacteria; Bacillati; Bacillota; Clostridia; Thermosediminibacterales; Tepidanaerobacteraceae
Also listed under: 1 other name
Description: c-di-GMP sequence
Rfam family: c-di-GMP-I riboswitch aptamer
About the family: GEMM was predicted in a large-scale screen for bacterial structured RNA regulatory elements. Genes associated with GEMM are involved in a diverse array of functions, including chemotaxis regulation, signal transduction, secretion and chitin.
Source: RNAcentral
GAUAUAAUUUGGCAAACUCCUCCAAAGAGGUGGGCGCAAAGCCAUGGGCCUAAAGUUUUUCUGGCUUUUUCGCGAAAAACUAUGGCAGCCAGGCUGCUGGU